CAAGGAAUUUUGCGCAAUGGGCGAAAGCCUGACGCAGCAACGCCGCGUGGGGGAUGAAGGCCUUCGGGUCGUAAACCCCUUUUAUCAGGGAAGAAAAAAAUGACGGUACCUGAGGAAUAAGCAUCGGCUAACUACGUGCCAGCAGCCGCGGUAAUACGUAGGAUGCAAGCGUUAUUCGGAUUUACUGGGCGUAAAGAGGGCGUAGGCGGUCUUUCAAGUCGGAUGUGAAAUCUCACGGCUUAACCGGGAGAGGUCAUCCGAUACUGAUAGGCUAGAGGACAACAGGAGAAAGUGGAAUUCCCGGUGUAGUGGUGAUAUGCGUAGAUAUCGGGAGGAACACCAGUGGCGAAGGCGGCUUUCUAGGUUGUUUCUGACGCUGAGGCCCGAAAGUGUGGGUAGCGAACAGGAUUAGAUACCCUGGUAGUCCACACUGUAAACGAUGGAUACUAGGUAUAGGGAGUAUCGACCCUCUCUGUGCCGAAGCUAACGCUUUAAGUAUCCCGCCUGGGGACUACGGUCGCAAGACUA
This 528-nucleotide ribosomal RNA is filed under the name uncultured bacterium. Its description in RNAcentral is "bacterial SSU rRNA". It matches the Rfam family "Bacterial small subunit ribosomal RNA", at positions 355 to 896 of the family's 1533-position model. The record is from RNAcentral.